This 509-nucleotide ribosomal RNA is filed under the name uncultured bacterium. Its description in RNAcentral is "bacterial SSU rRNA". It matches the Rfam family "Bacterial small subunit ribosomal RNA", at positions 833 to 1343 of the family's 1533-position model. The record is from RNAcentral.
UAAGUUCUCUGUAGCGCAGCUAACGCAUUAAGCACUCCGCCUGGGGAGUACGACCGCAAGGUUGAAACUCAAAGGAAUUGACGGGGGCCCGCACAAGCGGUGGAGCAUGUGGUUUAAUUCGAAGCAACGCGAAGAACCUUACCAGGUCUUGACAUACUCGUGCUAUCCUUAGAGAUAAGGAGUUCCUUCGGGACACGGGAUACAGGUGGUGCAUGGUUGUCGUCAGCUCGUGUCGUGAGAUGUUGGGUUAAGUCCCGCAACGAGCGCAACCCUUAUUACUAGUUGCCAUCACUAAGUUGGGCACUCUAGUGAGACUGCCGGUGAUAAACCGGAGGAAGGUGGGGAUGACGUCAAAUCAUCAUGCCCCUUAUGACCUGGGCUACACACGUGCUACAAUGGAUGGUACAACGAGUCGCCAACCCGCGAGGGUGCGCUAAUCUCUUAAAACCAUUCUCAGUUCGGAUUGCAGGCUGCAACUCGCCUGCAUGAAGUCGGAAUCGCUAGUAAUC